RNAcentral lists this ribosomal RNA (404 nucleotides) under uncultured Eubacteriales bacterium. RNAcentral describes it as "bacterial SSU rRNA". It matches the Rfam family "Bacterial small subunit ribosomal RNA", at positions 356 to 774 of the family's 1533-position model. Lineage: Bacteria; Bacillati; Bacillota; Clostridia; Eubacteriales. The record is from RNAcentral.
GGGGAAUAUUGGGCAAUGGACGCAAGUCUGACCCAGCAACGCCGCGUGAAGGAAGAAGGCUUUCGGAUUGUAAACCUCUGUCGCAGGGGACGAAGAAAGUGACGGUACCCUGUGAGGAAGCCCCGGCUAACUACGUGCCAGCAGCCGCGGUAAGACGUAGGGGGCAAGCGUUGUCCGGAAUUACUGGGCGUAAAGGGUGCGUAGGCGGCAAUUCAAGUCUGAUGUGAAAUUCCCGUGCUUAACAUGGGGCUUGCAUCGGAAACUGAAUAGCUAGAGUGCAGGAGAGGUAAGCGGAAUUCCUAGUGUAGCGGUGAAAUGCAUAGAUAUUAGGAGGAACACCAGUGGCGAAGGCGGCUUACUGGACUGUAACUGACGCUGAAGCACGAAAGCGUGGGGAGCAAACA